Molecule: ribosomal RNA, 748 nt
Filed under: uncultured Actinomycetes bacterium
Lineage: Bacteria; Bacillati; Actinomycetota; Actinomycetes
Description: bacterial SSU rRNA
Rfam family: Bacterial small subunit ribosomal RNA
Source: RNAcentral
AGGAGGAACACCAAUGGCGAAGGCAGGACUCUGGGCCAUUACUGACACUGAGGAGCGAAAGCGUGGGGAGCGAACAGGAUUAGAUACCCUGGUAGUCCACGCCGUAAACGGUGGGCACUAGUUGUGGGGACCUUCCACGGUCUCUGCGACGCAGCUAACGCAUUAAGUGCCCCGCCUGGGGAGUACGAUCGCAAGAUUAAAACUCAAAGGAAUUGACGGGGCCCCGCACAAGCAGCGGAGCAUGCGGCUUAAUUCGACGCGACGCGAAGAACCUUACCAAGGCUUGACAUAUACAGGAAUAUGGCAGAGAUGUCAUAGCCGCAAGGUCUGUAUACAGGUGGUGCAUGGUUGUCGUCAGCUCGUGUCGUGAGAUGUUGGGUUAAGUCCCGCAACGAGCGCAACCCUCGUUCUGUGUUGCCAGCAUUUAGUUGGGGACUCACAGGAGACUGCCGGGGUUAACUCGGAGGAAGGUGGGGAUGACGUCAAAUCAUCAUGCCCCUUAUGUCUUGGGCUGCACGCAUGCUACAAUGGCUGGUACAAACGGCUGCAAUACCGCAAGGUGGAGCGAAUCCGAGAAAGCCAGUCUCAGUUCGGAUUGGGGUCUGCAACUCGACCCCAUGAAGUCGGAGUUGCUAGUAAUCGUAGAUCAGCAACGCUACGGUGAAUACGUUCCCGGGGCUUGUACACACCGCCCGUCACGUCACGAAAGUCGGUAACACCCGAAGUCAGUGGCCCAACCGCAAGGAGG